This 2926-nucleotide ribosomal RNA is filed under the name Escherichia coli. RNAcentral describes it as "23S ribosomal RNA". It matches the Rfam family "Bacterial large subunit ribosomal RNA". The record is from RNAcentral. Lineage: Bacteria; Pseudomonadati; Pseudomonadota; Gammaproteobacteria; Enterobacterales; Enterobacteriaceae.
GGGUUGUGAGGUUAAGCGACUAAGCGUACACGGUGGAUGCCCUGGCAGUCAGAGGCGAUGAAGGACGUGCUAAUCUGCGAUAAGCGUCGGUAAGGUGAUAUGAACCGUUAUAACCGGCGAUUUCCGAAUGGGGAAACCCAGUGUGUUUCGACACACUAUCAUUAACUGAAUCCAUAGGUUAAUGAGGCGAACCGGGGGAACUGAAACAUCUAAGUACCCCGAGGAAAAGAAAUCAACCGAGAUUCCCCCAGUAGCGGCGAGCGAACGGGGAGCAGCCCAGAGCCUGAAUCAGUGUGUGUGUUAGUGGAAGCGUCUGGAAAGGCGCGCGAUACAGGGUGACAGCCCCGUACACAAAAAUGCACAUGCUGUGAGCUCGAUGAGUAGGGCGGGACACGUGGUAUCCUGUCUGAAUAUGGGGGGACCAUCCUCCAAGGCUAAAUACUCCUGACUGACCGAUAGUGAACCAGUACCGUGAGGGAAAGGCGAAAAGAACCCCGGCGAGGGGAGUGAAAAAGAACCUGAAACCGUGUACGUACAAGCAGUGGGAGCCUCUUUAUGGGGUGACUGCGUACCUUUUGUAUAAUGGGUCAGCGACUUAUAUUCUGUAGCAAGGUUAACCGAAUAGGGGAGCCGAAGGGAAACCGAGUCUUAACUGGGCGUUAAGUUGCAGGGUAUAGACCCGAAACCCGGUGAUCUAGCCAUGGGCAGGUUGAAGGUUGGGUAACACUAACUGGAGGACCGAACCGACUAAUGUUGAAAAAUUAGCGGAUGACUUGUGGCUGGGGGUGAAAGGCCAAUCAAACCGGGAGAUAGCUGGUUCUCCCCGAAAGCUAUUUAGGUAGCGCCUCGUGAAUUCAUCUCCGGGGGUAGAGCACUGUUUCGGCAAGGGGGUCAUCCCGACUUACCAACCCGAUGCAAACUGCGAAUACCGGAGAAUGUUAUCACGGGAGACACACGGCGGGUGCUAACGUCCGUCGUGAAGAGGGAAACAACCCAGACCGCCAGCUAAGGUCCCAAAGUCAUGGUUAAGUGGGAAACGAUGUGGGAAGGCCCAGACAGCCAGGAUGUUGGCUUAGAAGCAGCCAUCAUUUAAAGAAAGCGUAAUAGCUCACUGGUCGAGUCGGCCUGCGCGGAAGAUGUAACGGGGCUAAACCAUGCACCGAAGCUGCGGCAGCGACGCUGAUGCGUUGUUGGGUAGGGGAGCGUUCUGUAAGCCUGCGAAGGUGUGCUGUGAGGCAUGCUGGAGGUAUCAGAAGUGCGAAUGCUGACAUAAGUAACGAUAAAGCGGGUGAAAAGCCCGCUCGCCGGAAGACCAAGGGUUCCUGUCCAACGUUAAUCGGGGCAGGGUGAGUCGACCCCUAAGGCGAGGCCGAAAGGCGUAGUCGAUGGGAAACAGGUUAAUAUUCCUGUACUUGGUGUUACUGCGAAGGGGGGACGGAGAAGGCUAUGUUGGCCGGGCGACGGUUGUCCCGGUUUAAGCGUGUAGGCUGGUUUUCCAGGCAAAUCCGGAAAAUCAAGGCUGAGGCGUGAUGACGAGGCACUACGGUGCUGAAGCAACAAAUGCCCUGCUUCCAGGAAAAGCCUCUAAGCAUCAGGUAACAUCAAAUCGUACCCCAAACCGACACAGGUGGUCAGGUAGAGAAUACCAAGGCGCUUGAGAGAACUCGGGUGAAGGAACUAGGCAAAAUGGUGCCGUAACUUCGGGAGAAGGCACGCUGAUAUGUAGGUGAAGCGACUUGCUCGUGGAGCUGAAAUCAGUCGAAGAUACCAGCUGGCUGCAACUGUUUAUUAAAAACACAGCACUGUGCAAACACGAAAGUGGACGUAUACGGUGUGACGCCUGCCCGGUGCCGGAAGGUUAAUUGAUGGGGUUAGCGGUAACGCGAAGCUCUUGAUCGAAGCCCCGGUAAACGGCGGCCGUAACUAUAACGGUCCUAAGGUAGCGAAAUUCCUUGUCGGGUAAGUUCCGACCUGCACGAAUGGCGUAAUGAUGGCCAGGCUGUCUCCACCCGAGACUCAGUGAAAUUGAACUCGCUGUGAAGAUGCAGUGUACCCGCGGCAAGACGGAAAGACCCCGUGAACCUUUACUAUAGCUUGACACUGAACAUUGAGCCUUGAUGUGUAGGAUAGGUGGGAGGCUUUGAAGUGUGGACGCCAGUCUGCAUGGAGCCGACCUUGAAAUACCACCCUUUAAUGUUUGAUGUUCUAACGUUGACCCGUAAUCCGGGUUGCGGACAGUGUCUGGUGGGUAGUUUGACUGGGGCGGUCUCCUCCUAAAGAGUAACGGAGGAGCACGAAGGUUGGCUAAUCCUGGUCGGACAUCAGGAGGUUAGUGCAAUGGCAUAAGCCAGCUUGACUGCGAGCGUGACGGCGCGAGCAGGUGCGAAAGCAGGUCAUAGUGAUCCGGUGGUUCUGAAUGGAAGGGCCAUCGCUCAACGGAUAAAAGGUACUCCGGGGAUAACAGGCUGAUACCGCCCAAGAGUUCAUAUCGACGGCGGUGUUUGGCACCUCGAUGUCGGCUCAUCACAUCCUGGGGCUGAAGUAGGUCCCAAGGGUAUGGCUGUUCGCCAUUUAAAGUGGUACGCGAGCUGGGUUUAGAACGUCGUGAGACAGUUCGGUCCCUAUCUGCCGUGGGCGCUGGAGAACUGAGGGGGGCUGCUCCUAGUACGAGAGGACCGGAGUGGACGCAUCACUGGUGUUCGGGUUGUCAUGCCAAUGGCACUGCCCGGUAGCUAAAUGCGGAAGAGAUAAGUGCUGAAAGCAUCUAAGCACGAAACUUGCCCCGAGAUGAGUUCUCCCUGACCCUUUAAGGGUCCUGAAGGAACGUUGAAGACGACGACGUUGAUAGGCCGGGUGUGUAAGCGCAGCGAUGCGUUGAGCUAACCGGUACUAAUGAACCGUGAGGCUUAACCUUACAACGCCGAAG